UACGAAGGGGGCGAGCGUUGUUCGGAUUUACUGGGCGUAAAGGGCGCGCAGGCGGCGCAUUUUGUCAGGCGUGAAAGCCCCGGGCUUAACCUGGGAACUGCGUUUGAUACGGAUGGGCUAGAGUUCGGGAGAGGAGAGUGGAAUUCCCAGUGUAGAGGUGAAAUUCGUAGAUAUUGGGAAGAACACCGGUGGCGAAGGCGGCCUGCUGGGGUGGAGCUGACGCUGAGGCGCGACAGCGUGGGGAGCAAACAGG
Molecule: ribosomal RNA, 253 nt
Filed under: uncultured bacterium
Lineage: Bacteria
Description: partial 16S ribosomal RNA
Rfam family: Bacterial small subunit ribosomal RNA
Source: RNAcentral